This is a long non-coding RNA of Pseudoliparis swirei, 908 nucleotides long. RefSeq lists it as uncharacterized. The transcript has 3 exons. The record is from RefSeq and is a predicted model, not a curated record. Lineage: Eukaryota; Metazoa; Chordata; Actinopteri; Perciformes; Liparidae.
UGUGUGUGUGUCGCAUCCUGCGUAAUUUGCGCGUGCAUGUACGGCUGCGGUCCAGCCAGCCUCCACUUCCUGCUAUGUGUGUGUAUUGAAACCAUCGGUCUGUGGAGGCUCCACAUCAGCGUGAACGAGCACCACUCCGACCGGAGGGUCUGACGCGCCGCGCGGACACGUGCACGCGCCUCGUCCUAUAACCUAAGAACGAAUAGAGGCGUGUUCACGUGUGUUCAUAAAGACGAGCCAUGCAGGAGCCGGAGACCUCCUCUCUUCAGCCGAGGUAUCAAGUGAGUCUCUCGGGCUGGAGCGCGGACCUUCUCCCGUCCCUUUGUCUCCAGAGACGGCCACUCCGUGAGCCGACCACCGUGGUCCCGUCUCACGGAGUCCUUUAUUGCGCCUGGCUGUCGGCCCGGCAGUGGGAGCUCCUGUCCUCUCCCAGAUCCUGCAGAGUGGACUCUGCUGUUGGUGUUGGCUGUCACAUGGGGCUCCAUCUGGCAAAACACAUGCAUCACAUGCUGACAACACAACUGGGUGGGCUUCUCCUCAUGUCUGACGACUCCACUGUUAAUUGACAUGUAUUCACGUGUUUGUGCAAACAUAUAUAUACAUAUAUAAACAUAAUAUAAUAUAUUUGCACAAACAACGUUAUUAUGUUGUCGUUUCACUAACACUUCACCUUUAUACACUUUUACUUUCUGUUGUGCAACCUCUCUUUACUUUAUGUAUGUUCAUUGUGCGUAUAAAUUGUUUUUACACGUUAUGUUUCAUUCCUAUAUUUUUACUUUCACUAUUCAAUGUCUCAGUUCUAAUUCAUUCACUUGCAUGAUUUUCUUUUUUACAUAUUCAACCAGCAUUAUCGACUGGGUCUCUCUAAAUGUUGCAUAUGACAUUAAAUAACUUGAAACCUGAACGCA